This 253-nucleotide ribosomal RNA is filed under the name uncultured bacterium. Its description in RNAcentral is "partial 16S ribosomal RNA". It matches the Rfam family "Bacterial small subunit ribosomal RNA", at positions 524 to 776 of the family's 1533-position model. The record is from RNAcentral.
UACGGAGGGUGCAAGCGUUAUCCGGAUUCACUGGGUUUAAAGGGUGCGUAGGCGGCGUAGUAAGUCCGUGGUGAAAGCCCACAGCUCAACUGUGGAACUGCCAUGGAUACUGCUAGGCUUGAGUACAGACGAGGUAGGCGGAAUGGAUAGUGUAGCGGUGAAAUGCAUAGAUACUAUCCAGAACACCGAUUGCGUAGGCAGCUUACUAGACUGUAACUGACGCUGAGGCACGAAAGCGUGGGGAGCGAACAGG